AUACGUAGGUGGCAAGCGUUGUCCGGAUUUAUUGGGCGUAAAGCGAGCGCAGGCGGUUUCUUAAGUCUGAUGUGAAAGCCCCCGGCUCAACCGGGGAGGGUCAUUGGAAACUGGGAGACUUGAGUGCAGAAGAGGAGAGUGGAAUUCCAUGUGUAGCGGUGAAAUGCGUAGAUAUAUGGAGGAACACCAGUGGCGAAGGCGGCUCUCUGGUCGGUAACUGACGCUGAGGCUCGAAAGCGUGGGGAGCAAACAGGAUUAGAUACCCUGGUAGUCCACGCCGUAAACGAUGAGUGCUAAGUGUUGGAGGGUUUCCGCCCUUCAGUGCUGCAGCUAACGCAUUAAGCACUCCGCCUGGGGAGUACGACCGCAAGGUUGAAACUUAAAGGAAUUGACGGGG
RNAcentral lists this ribosomal RNA (397 nucleotides) under uncultured bacterium. RNAcentral's name for it is "partial 16S ribosomal RNA". It matches the Rfam family "Bacterial small subunit ribosomal RNA", at positions 523 to 918 of the family's 1533-position model. The record is from RNAcentral.